GACGAACGCUGGCGGCGUGCCUAAUACAUGCAAGUCGAGCGAGACUCUUCGGAGUCUAGCGGCGGACGGGUGAGUAACACGUGGGCAACCUGCCUGUAAGACUGGGAUAACACCGGGAAACCGGUGCUAAUACCGGAUAACCCUUUUCCUCUCAUGAGGAAAAGCUGAAAGUCGGUUUCGGCUGACACUUACAGAUGGGCCCGCGGCGCAUUAGCUAGUUGGUGAGGUAACGGCUCACCAAGGCGACGAUGCGUAGCCGACCUGAGAGGGUGAUCGGCCACACUGGGACUGAGACACGGCCCAGACUCCUACGGGAGGCAGCAGUAGGGAAUCUUCCACAAUGGACGAAAGUCUGAUGGAGCAACGCCGCGUGAGCGAUGAAGGCCUUCGGGUCGUAAAGCUCUGUUGUUAGGGAAGAACAAGUACCGGAGUAACUGCCGGUACCUUGACGGUACCUAACCAGAAAGCCACGGCUAACUACGUGCCAGCAGCCGCGGUAA
RNAcentral lists this ribosomal RNA (500 nucleotides) under uncultured bacterium. RNAcentral describes it as "partial 16S ribosomal RNA". It matches the Rfam family "Bacterial small subunit ribosomal RNA", at positions 28 to 523 of the family's 1533-position model. The record is from RNAcentral.